CUACGGGUUGCACCAGUCGCGGAACUUUUACAAUGCACGCAAGUGUGAUAAAGCAAGCCAAAGUGCUUUUCGUUUAGAAAAGCUUUUUCUCGGCGUAAAAACCCGGGAGAAUAAGGACUGGGAAAGACUGGUGCCAGCGGCCGCGGUAAUACCAGCAGUUCAAGUUGCAUCCCUUUUUAUUGGGUCUAAAACAUCCGUAGCUUGCCGUUUAAGUUUCUUGUGAAAUCCUACGUCUCAAGCGUAGCGAAGUGCAGGAGAUACUGGGCGGCUAGAGAUCGGUAGACGUAAGAAGUACGCGACGGGUAACGGUCAAAUGUGUUAAUCCGCCGUGGACUAACAAUGAGCGAAGGCAUCUUACGAGGACGAAUCUGACAGUGAGGGAUGAAGGCCAGGGGCGCAAAACGGAUUAGAUACCCGUGUAGUC
Molecule: ribosomal RNA, 424 nt
Filed under: uncultured archaeon
Lineage: Archaea
Description: partial 16S ribosomal RNA
Rfam family: Archaeal small subunit ribosomal RNA
Source: RNAcentral